This 425-nucleotide ribosomal RNA is filed under the name uncultured bacterium. Its description in RNAcentral is "partial 16S ribosomal RNA". It matches the Rfam family "Bacterial small subunit ribosomal RNA", at positions 354 to 796 of the family's 1533-position model. The record is from RNAcentral.
GUGGGGAAUCUUAGACAAUGGGGGAAACCCUGAUCUAGCCAUGCCGCGUGAGCGAUGAAGGCCUUAGGGUUGUAAAGCUCUUUCAGCUGGGAAGAUAAUGACGGUACCAGCAGAAGAAGCCCCGGCUAACUCCGUGCCAGCAGCCGCGGUAAUACGGAGGGGGCUAGCGUUGUUCGGAAUUACUGGGCGUAAAGCGCGCGUAGGCGGACCAGAAAGUUGGAGGUGAAAUCCCAGGGCUCAACCUUGGAACUGCCUUCAAAACUCCUGGUCUGGAGUUCGAGAGAGGUGAGUGGAAUUCCGAGGGUAGAGGUGAAAUUCGUAGAUAUUCGGAGGAACACCAGUGGCGAAGGCGGCUCACUGGCUCGAUACUGACGCUGAGGUGCGAAAGCGUGGGGAGCAAACAGGAUUAGAAACCCGGGUAGUCC